RNAcentral lists this non-coding RNA (30 nucleotides) under Mus musculus (house mouse). The record is from RNAcentral. Lineage: Eukaryota; Metazoa; Chordata; Mammalia; Rodentia; Muridae.
UACAUAAACUACAGUUCCUUAGGCACCUGA